This 500-nucleotide ribosomal RNA is filed under the name uncultured bacterium. Its description in RNAcentral is "partial 16S ribosomal RNA". It matches the Rfam family "Bacterial small subunit ribosomal RNA", at positions 28 to 507 of the family's 1533-position model. The record is from RNAcentral.
GACGAACGCUGGCGGCGUGCUUAACACAUGCAAGUCGAACGGGUCUGCCCUGUUUUUUGCGGGGUGGGUCAGUGGCGAACGGGCGAGUAACACGUGAGUAACCUGCCCCUCACUUCUGGAUAACCGCUUGAAAGGGUGGCUAAUACGGGGUGUUCUGGCUGUGCCGCAUGGUGUGGCUGGGAAAGAUUCACUUUUGUGGUGUUUUGGUGGGGGAUGGGCUCGCGGCCUAUCAGCUUGUUGGUGGGGUGAUGGCCUGCCAAGGCUUUGACGGGUAGCCGGCCUGAGAGGGUGGGCGGUCACACUGGGACUGAGAUACGGCCCAGACUCCUGCGGGAGGCAGCAGUGGGGGGUAUUGCACAAUGGGCGGAAGCCUGAUGCAGCGACGUCGCGUGAGGGAUGGAGGCCUUCGGGUUGUGAACCUCUUUCGCCGGUGAAGAAGGUCCUGCUCUUUGUGGUGGGGUUGACGGUAGCCGGGUUAUGAAGCGCCGGCUAACUACGUG